Sciurus carolinensis (gray squirrel) is the source of this 948-nucleotide long non-coding RNA. RefSeq lists it as uncharacterized. The record is from RefSeq and is a predicted model, not a curated record. The transcript has 3 exons. Lineage: Eukaryota; Metazoa; Chordata; Mammalia; Rodentia; Sciuridae.
GGUGUGCAGCAGGAAAUCUGGACGAGGAGCAAGGUGGCGGCUCAGGAGGAGAGAGAAGGUCUGGGUGUGGUGGGUGUGGAGGACAGUGGGAAGCAGACACCAGGCCCUCCCAGGGGCUGCUGGCUGGAGACACUCCCACUUAGCAGUCUUUUCCUGAGCUGGUGAAACACAGUGGGACACUGUCUCACGGCUGGGCAGAGGCAGAGGAGCACAGCUCCUCUUCAGCCACAGGACCCCGAGGGCAAGCAGCCUGCCGUCUGUAUUGCACUGCUGAGCUGUGAUAUUGGAACCAAGGCAGCCUCUGAAGCAGGGAAGCUCCCAGGAUUACGUUCUCAUGAAUCACCGCUGUGGUGCUCAUGGCAACCAGGGAGGGCGAGCACCAAGUUCUACGAUCGAUGACAAUUGUACGCGAAAACCAGACUCACAUAAACCACCAGCAUGAACAAAGUGGAAGGAAUGUGUCAUCCCUGACUCGGAGCCGGGGGAGGCCUGCUGUCUAGGAAGUGACCUGCUGGGCUGCUCAGUUGGACCUGAGACCCCAGCUACAGGUGUGUGCUUUCCAACAGGUAGUGGAGCCAGAGAUGCCAAGGGUAGGAGGUUGAGUGUCUCCCUGGAAAUGGUCAAGUCACAACUAGAAAGAGAACUCUUUUAAAAAAUAUAUAUAUAAUAUUGCAGAAUACACCAAAAUCACCCAGUUCUUUCUGUUGUGAAGGAUGUACAUACAACUCUAUCGCAUUGUAGGAAAUGACCCAGAAAAACUCUUGGAAUAUUUCCAAGUUUUAUGAUUCUCCAGUUAAGUGUGUGUGUGUCCACAUUGUUAUUAGUAUGCAUUUUGGCUAAGCCUGUCCCCGUUCAGUGACUCCAUUUUCUACUCUAAACAUUGGAUCCUUAUUUCAGAGACUGAACUACCAAAUACAUAGCAAAUGAUCAGAGGAGCAAGGUGGAGUU